This 411-nucleotide ribosomal RNA is filed under the name uncultured bacterium. RNAcentral's name for it is "bacterial SSU rRNA". It matches the Rfam family "Bacterial small subunit ribosomal RNA", at positions 29 to 423 of the family's 1533-position model. The record is from RNAcentral.
AACGAACGCUGGCGGCGUGCCUAACACAUGCAAGUCGAGCGAGAAAGGGGAGCAAUCCCCGAGUAAAGCGGCAGACGGGUGAGUAACACGUGGGUAAUCUGCCCUCGGGCGGGGAAUAACAUCUCGAAAGAGGUGCUAAUACCGCAUAACAUCCAUGGACCUGUGGGUUCGUGGAUCAAAGGUGGGGAGUCUUCGGACCUACCACUCGAGGAGGAGCCCGCGCCUGAUUAGCUAGNGGUUGGGGUAAGUGGCCUACCAAGGCGACGAUCAGUAGCCGGCCUGAGAGGGUGAACGGCCACACUGGAACUGAGACACGGUCCAGACUCCUACGGGAGGCAGCAGUGAGGAAUUUUGCGCAAUGGGCGAAAGCCUGACGCAGCAACGCCGCGUGGACGAUGAAGGUCUUCGGAU